This 418-nucleotide ribosomal RNA is filed under the name uncultured bacterium. RNAcentral's name for it is "bacterial SSU rRNA". It matches the Rfam family "Bacterial small subunit ribosomal RNA", at positions 102 to 518 of the family's 1533-position model. The record is from RNAcentral.
ACGGGUGAGUAACACGUAUCCAACCUGCCGCUUACUCGGGGAUAGCCUUUCGAAAGAAAGAUUAAUACCCGAUGGUAUAAAGAGUUCGCAUGUUCUCUUUAUUAAAGAAUUUCGGUAAGCGAUGGGGAUGCGUUCCAUUAGAUUGUUGGCGGGGUAACGGCCCACCAAGUCUACGAUGGAUAGGGGUUCUGAGAGGAAGGUCCCCCACAUUGGAACUGAGACACGGUCCAAACUCCUACGGGAGGCAGCAGUGAGGAAUAUUGGUCAAUGGACGAGAGUCUGAACCAGCCAAGUAAGCGUGAAGGAUGACUGCCCUAUGGGUUGUAAACUUCUUUUAUAAGGGAAUAAAGUGAGGGACGUGUCCCUUUUUGUAUGUACCUUAUGAAUAAGGAUCGGCUAACUCCGUGCCAGCCGCCGC